This 127-nucleotide small nucleolar RNA is filed under the name Carlito syrichta (Philippine tarsier). Its description in RNAcentral is "Small nucleolar RNA SNORA68 (ENSTSYG00000033098.1)". It matches the Rfam family "Small nucleolar RNA SNORA68". Rfam says of the family: U68 is a member of the H/ACA class of small nucleolar RNAs (snoRNAs) which act as guides in the the modification of uridines to pseudouridines. Lineage: Eukaryota; Metazoa; Chordata; Mammalia; Primates; Tarsiidae. The record is from Rfam by way of RNAcentral.
CUCGGACCUCGACUCAAGGAUCUCUGCUUUCCAUAAUGGUGGUUUGAGCAGAGGUGCUCAUGGCAAGUGGUCUCGUCGUCCUGGGGGACUUUGUGGCUGUCACAGUGAAUCUGGAAGUUUUAUCUUC